Hemicordylus capensis (graceful crag lizard) is the source of this 586-nucleotide long non-coding RNA. RefSeq lists it as uncharacterized. The transcript is spliced from 3 exons. Lineage: Eukaryota; Metazoa; Chordata; Lepidosauria; Squamata; Cordylidae. The record is from RefSeq and is a predicted model, not a curated record.
CCUGAACUCGAGUAGGGCCCAAGCCAGCCAGGAAGGAGGAGGCAGCCAGAGUGUUCUCUGCAGCAGAAGACCCCUUGCUGCCCUGCUUAACCCAGACCAGCAUUUGCCAGACCAACAAGAAUUUAUAGAAGCACAAAGUAGCAUCGAGUCCUGCUCCUUGGAGUAGACAGCAAAAACAAAAGAACAGUCAAUGGCGAACCUAGGCAAUCAGGGUGCCUGGACCAACAUGCCAUGGAGGGCCCCCCACCACUGUGAGCGUUUGUUUCCCCACUGCCGCGAGGCCGAACCACCAAUAUUCUAGUCGCCAUGUGCGUGGCCGAGGGAGUGUGGGGUGCGGCUUUGAAAGAUGGCUGAUAUGAGCUUAUAUUAUAAGAACUAUAUAGCUUAUACGACAAAACUGUUCAGUUUCUGUCCAUGAAUUGAUGAUCAUAUUAUUGUCACAAUGCGUAUGCCACCCUGAAUGAGAACCAUCUAUAGUGACAGUAACAUCCGUGACCAGGGUGGGUGGGUGAAGUGAGCAAGCCUCCCCCUCUCCCCCGCGAUAGCGGGUGGAGGAGGAGUGGCCGCUGAGCCUGGCUGUCUGGCU